AUAAGAACAUCUCUCUCUUCU
This 21-nucleotide small nuclear RNA is filed under the name Arabidopsis thaliana (thale cress). Its description in RNAcentral is "snRNA_11288". Lineage: Eukaryota; Viridiplantae; Streptophyta; Magnoliopsida; Brassicales; Brassicaceae. The record is from RNAcentral.